Molecule: ribosomal RNA, 468 nt
Filed under: uncultured bacterium
Lineage: Bacteria
Description: partial 16S ribosomal RNA
Rfam family: Bacterial small subunit ribosomal RNA
Source: RNAcentral
GACGAACGCUGGCGGCGUGCUUAACACAUGCAAGUCGAACGGAAAGGCCCUGCUUUUGUGGGGUGCUCGAGGGGCGAACGGGUGAGUAACACGUGAGUAACCUGCCCUUGACUUUGGGAUAACUUCAGGAAACUGGGGCUAAUACCGGAUAGGAGCUCCUGCUGCAGGGUGGGGGUUGGAAAGUUUCGGCGGUUGGGGAUGGACUCGCGGCUUAUCAGCUUGUUGGUGGGGGAGGGGCUUACCAAGGCUUUGACGGGUAGCCGGCCUGAGAGGGUGACCGGCCACAUUGGGACUGCGAUACGGCCCAGACUCCUACGGGAGGCAGCAGUGGGGAAUAUUGCACAAUGGGCGGAAGCCUGAUGCAGCAACGCCGCGUGCGUGAUGACGGCCUUCGGGUUGUAAACCGCUUUCGCCUGUGACGACGCUUUAGUGACGGUAAUGGGUAAAGAAGCACCGGCUAACUACGUG